GCCAGAUAUGGUGGUGUGUGCCCAUAGUUCCAACUACUCAGGAGACUAAGGCAGGAGGAUGACUGAGUCCAGGAGUUCUGAGUUGUAGUGCACUAUGCCAAUCAGGUGACUGUGCUAAGUUUAACAUCAAUAUGGUGACCUCUUGGGAGCAGAGGACCACCAGGUUACAUAAGGAGGGGUGAACUGGCUCAGACUAGAAAUAGACCAGAUCAAAAUUUCCUUGCUGAUUAGUAGUGGGAUGGUUAUCUGUGAAUAACCACUGCAUUCCAGCCUGGGCAACAUGGCAAGACCCUGUGUCUA
Non-coding RNA from Pan troglodytes (chimpanzee), 300 nucleotides. It matches the Rfam family "Metazoan signal recognition particle RNA". From Rfam's summary of the family: The signal recognition particle (SRP) is a universally conserved ribonucleoprotein. It is involved in the co-translational targeting of proteins to membranes. The eukaryotic SRP consists of a 300-nucleotide 7S RNA and six proteins: SRPs 72, 68, 54, 19, 14, and 9. The record is from Rfam. NCBI's taxonomy places the organism in Eukaryota, Metazoa, Chordata, Mammalia, Primates, Hominidae.